ACGGAAGGCAGCAGUGAGGAAUAUUGGUCAAUGGGCGGAAGCCUGAACCAGCCAAGUCGCGUGAAGGAUGAAGGUAUUAUGUAUUGUAAACUUCUUUAGCAGUGGAGUAAUAAGGGAGUCGUGACUCCUGAUGCAAGUACACUGAGAAUAAGGAUCGGCUAACUCCGUGCCAGCAGCCGCGGUAAUACGGAGGAUCCGAGCGUUAUCCGGAUUUAUUGGGUUUAAAGGGUGCGCAGGCGGCCUUGUAAGUCAGCGGUUAAAUCGUGGAGCUCAACUCCAUCCCGCCGUUGAUACUGCAGGGCUUGAUUGCGGUUGAGGUUGGCGGAAUUCGUCGUGUAGCGGUGAAAUGCAUAGAUAUGACGAAGAACCCCGAUUGCGUAGGCAGCUGACCAAGCCGUAAAUGACGCUCAUGCACGAAAGUGCGGGGAUCGAACAGGAUUAGAUACCCUGGUA
This 453-nucleotide ribosomal RNA is filed under the name uncultured Porphyromonadaceae bacterium. RNAcentral describes it as "partial 16S ribosomal RNA". It matches the Rfam family "Bacterial small subunit ribosomal RNA", at positions 341 to 792 of the family's 1533-position model. Lineage: Bacteria; Pseudomonadati; Bacteroidota; Bacteroidia; Bacteroidales; Porphyromonadaceae. The record is from RNAcentral.